This 433-nucleotide ribosomal RNA is filed under the name uncultured bacterium. RNAcentral describes it as "partial 16S ribosomal RNA". It matches the Rfam family "Bacterial small subunit ribosomal RNA", at positions 29 to 507 of the family's 1533-position model. The record is from RNAcentral.
AACGAACGCUGGCGGCAUGCCUAACACAUGCAAGUCGAACGAGACCUUCGGGUCUAGUGGCGCACGGGUGCGUAACGCGUGGGAACCUGCCCUUAGGUUCGGAAUAACUCCCCGAAAGGGGUGCUAAAACCGGAUAAAUUCUUCGGACCAAAGAUUUAUCGCCUUUGGAUGGGCCCGCGUUGGAUUAGCUAGUUGGUAGGGUAAAAGCCUACCAAGGCGACGAUCCAUAGCUGGUCUGAGAGGAUGAUCAGCCACACUGGGACUGAGACACGGCCCAGACUCCUACGGGAGGCAGCAGUGGGGAAUAUUGGACAAUGGGCGAAAGCCUGAUCCAGCAAUGCCGCGUGAGUGAUGAAGGCCUUAGGGUUGUAAAGCUCUUUUACCCGGGAUGAUAAUGACAGUACCGGGAGAAUAAGCUCCGGCUAACUCCGUG